Molecule: small RNA, 28 nt
Filed under: Bombyx mori (domestic silkworm)
Lineage: Eukaryota; Metazoa; Arthropoda; Insecta; Lepidoptera; Bombycidae
Description: ovarian small RNA-31644
Source: RNAcentral
UGACCUGGAACGGGUGUCGCGUCUUCCA